RNAcentral lists this ribosomal RNA (510 nucleotides) under uncultured bacterium. RNAcentral's name for it is "partial 16S ribosomal RNA". It matches the Rfam family "Bacterial small subunit ribosomal RNA", at positions 28 to 507 of the family's 1533-position model. The record is from RNAcentral.
GACGAACGCUGGCGGCGUGCUUAACACAUGCAAGUCGAACGAAGAGCGAUGGAAGCUUGCUUCUAUCAAUCUUAGUGGCGAACGGGUGAGGAACGCGUAAUCAACCUGCCCUUCAGAGGGGGACAACAGUUGGAAACGACUGCUAAUACCGCAUACGAUCUAAUCUCGGCAUCGAGGAUAGAUGAAAGGUGGCCUCUACAUGUAAGCUAUCACUGAAGGAGGGGAUUGCGUCUGAUUAGCUAGUUGGAGGGGUAACGGCCCACCAAGGCGAUGAUCAGUAGCCGGUCUGAGAGGAUGAACGGCCACAUUGGGACUGAGACACGGCCCAGACUCCUACGGGAGGCAGCAGUGGGGAAUCUUCCGCAAUGGACGAAAGUCUGACGGAGCAACGCCGCGUGAGUGAUGACGGCCUUCGGGUUGUAAAGCUCUGUUAAUCGGGACGAAAGGCCUUCUUGCGAAUAGUGAGAAGGAUUGACGGUACCGGAAUAGAAAGCCACGGCUAACUACGUG